Molecule: ribosomal RNA, 301 nt
Filed under: uncultured bacterium
Lineage: Bacteria
Description: partial 16S ribosomal RNA
Rfam family: Bacterial small subunit ribosomal RNA
Source: RNAcentral
CAGCCGCCGCGGUAAUACGUAGGGUGCAAGCGUUAAUCGGAAUUACUGGGCGUAAAGCGUGCGCAGGCGGUUAUAUAAGUCAGAUGUGAAACCCCCGGGCUCAACCUGGGAACUGCAUUUGAGACUGUAUGGCUAGAGUGUGUCAGAGGGGGGUAGAAUUCCACGUGUAGCAGUGAAAUGCGUAGAUAUGUGGAGGAAUACCGAUGGCGAAGGCAGCCCCCUGGGAUAACACUGACGCUCAUGCACGAAAGCGUGGGGAGCAAACAGGAUUAGAUACCCGUGUAGUCCCUGUCUCUUAUAA